GACGAACGCUGGCGGCGUGCCUAAUACAUGCAAGUCGAACGCAGUGGGGACGGGGUAGUAACACGUGGGUAACCUCCCAUCAAAGGGGAUAACACUUGCAAACACGGGCUAAACUGAUACUUAUUGAUGUACCCGCGGUGCAUUAGCUAGUGGGUGAGGGAACGGCCCACAAAGGCCCCGAGGCAUAGCCGACGUGAGGGGGUGAUCGGCCAAACUGGGACGGAGAAAAGGCCAAGACUCCUACGGGAGGCAGCAGUAGGGAAUCUUCGGAAAUGGACGAAAGUCUGACCGAGCAACGCGGCGUGGGUGAAGAAGGUUUUCGGAUCGUAAACCUCUGUUGUUAGAGAAGCGGUAUCUAACCAGAAAGCCACGGCUAACUACGUGCCAGCAGCCGCGGUAAUUC
RNAcentral lists this ribosomal RNA (403 nucleotides) under uncultured bacterium. RNAcentral describes it as "partial 16S ribosomal RNA". It matches the Rfam family "Bacterial small subunit ribosomal RNA", at positions 28 to 526 of the family's 1533-position model. The record is from RNAcentral.